UGGGAUGACCGUUGUGUCCCACACAGAGAUAAUUUUACUGUAUUAUUUAUCAGCAGUCGGCCGUUGCUGUGUUGUUAUUUUUCCUGGCCAUUUGAAUUAAAUUAAAGUCAAAAUGUUUAGCCGUGAAAGUUUUUUUCCUUUUAUUUUUCGACUGAUUUGCAUAAGCAUCGAAAUCAUCGCCGGGGAUGGCUGACUGGCGGGCGGAAAAACAUGCGUUACGGAACGAUCUGUCCACCAAUUAGAGACGAAGCUUCAUAGCUUUGAUGGCUAUCGCUGGCGCUGGCCAUGCAGUUAACGGUGAUGUUGAUGUACCGUACCAAAGCAGCAACACCAACAGUAACAAAAGCAGUGAAAGACUGAUUGAACAGCGAAUCAAUUGGCAGCACCAUUUCACAUUGUUUGCUGACAUCUUUUUUCCACCUGGCCCUGGCUCGUAUUUUGCCAAUCAAUUGCCACAUUGCGGUGGUCAUGCAAAAAGAAUGCCGUAUCUCUCCAUGUAAGUGUGCGCGUGUGUAUUAUUAAACAACAACUACAGCACAAGCAGAACCACCAACAAAGGCAUCGGAGGGCCAACACCAGCACCAGAGCAGCAAAAAUUUAAUGAAUAAAUAGCAGAAAUUUUUCGGUGAAAGUCGUGGUCAGAAGUAAGCCAUAUUCACACAGCAGCCGUAGCAGCGGAAACACAUCAGGCAACAGAUAUGUAUAUAUUUAUAUGUGAAAUAUUUGCAAUAAACUAAAUUGGUUAACGGUGUCAAGGAAUCAAGGAAAGUGAAAUGCGAUGAUGCAAUUUAGUUUGCAUAAGAAAAAAAAGAAUAAAACCUGAAAUUCGACCAGAGGACUACACGACAGCUUCCUUUCAGAUUAACAUCGGAGCUGCAUAAUUUAAUAAGUAAAAGUAACUUGGAGACAAAACCCACAACACACCCCGAAGAUUUCACAAAACCAUAAAAAUGUCAAGUUAAUAGAACAGAUUUUCCCUUUUACGGUCAUUUGAAUUAAUCCGAAAUUUGCAUAAUAAUGCUGGUACCAAAAAAAGAAGAUUAUGUAUGCAGACUCCGACUCCGACUACGAUUUAGGCCCAAACCGGACUUCCAUCUCAGCCGAUACUCGUACGAGUAUAUGGAGGCGCAGCAUUUCGUAUAAAGAAUUUGCGGUAUUUGGGUUAAAUAUUAAUUUACAUUCGAAACGGGGAGCGCUCAGCUGAUGGCAGCGCAGCAUCAUUGAAAAGUGAAAUUUUGUGGCAGCGACUAAAAUGUAGGCUGCGUGACACUUUCAGUCAGUUUCGGCAUCAGCUUCAGGCCCAGCUCGUCUUGUCUUGGUCAUUUUCCAAGCUCAUCGAACGACGAUUAAUCAGCUAAUUUCUUUAUGAACUUUCAUUUAUGCAGUGGAGUGUGGACCGAAGCCAGCAUUCACACACGUCGUCGUCGUCAUCAUCAUCUUUAAAGUUUUCGUGCUCAUAAACCCAGUCGAAGGCAUUGGGGUUUUAUUGUCAACUGACUGGUAGGAUGCCUAAACGAUAUCCAAUUUAGAGAUUCUAUUUCGCGCAACUACUUCUGUUGUGGUUUAU
Drosophila miranda is the source of this 1567-nucleotide long non-coding RNA. RefSeq lists it as uncharacterized. NCBI's taxonomy places the organism in Eukaryota, Metazoa, Arthropoda, Insecta, Diptera, Drosophilidae. The record is from RefSeq and is a predicted model, not a curated record. The transcript has 3 exons.